RNAcentral lists this ribosomal RNA (930 nucleotides) under Galiella rufa. RNAcentral's name for it is "eukaryotic LSU rRNA". It matches the Rfam family "Eukaryotic large subunit ribosomal RNA", at positions 30 to 975 of the family's 3401-position model. Lineage: Eukaryota; Fungi; Ascomycota; Pezizomycetes; Pezizales; Sarcosomataceae. The record is from RNAcentral.
GAACUUAAGCAUAUCAAUAAGCGGAGGAAAAGAAACCAACAGGGAUUGCCUCAGUAACUGCGAGUGAAGCGGCAAAAGCUCAAAUUUGAAAUCUGGCACCUUUGGGUGUCCGAGUUGUAAUUUGGAGAGGCAACUUCGAAGGAGGCGCUGGCCUAAGUUCCUUGGAACAGGACGUCACAGAGGGUGAGAAUCCCGUGCUUGGCUGGCUGUCCUUCUUCAUGUGAAGUGUCUUCGACGAGUCGAGUUGUUUGGGAAUGCAGCUCAAAAUGGGUGGUAAACUCCAUCUAAGGCUAAAUAUUGGCGAGAGACCGAUAGCGCACAAGUAGAGUGAUCGAAAGAUGAAAAGCACUUUGAAAAGAGAGUUAAAAAGUACGUGAAAUUGUUGAAAGGGAAGCGCUUGAGACCAGACUCGGUGAUUGGUGAUCAGCGGUUGCUUUUGCUCCGUGCACUUGCCUUUUACUGGGCCAGCAUCAGUUGUGACGGCGGGAUAAAGAUCUGGGGAAUGUGGCUCUCUUCGGGGAGUGUUAUAGCCCCAGGUGUAAUGCCGCCUGUUGCGACUGAGGACCGCGCUUCGGCUAGGAUGCUGGCAUAAUGGUCUUCAGCGACCCGUCUUGAAACACGGACCAAGGAGUCUAACAUCUAUGCGAGUGUUCGGGUGUAAAACCCCUACGCGGAAUGAAAGUGAACGGAGGUGGGAACUCCUUGGAGUGCACCAUCGACCGAUCCUGAUGUCUUCGGAUGGAUUUGAGUAGGAGCAUAGCUGUUGGGACCCGAAAGAUGGUGAACUAUGCCUGAAUAGGGUGAAGCCAGAGGAAACUCUGGUGGAGGCUCGCAGCGGUUCUGACGUGCAAAUCGAUCGUCAAAUUUGGGUAUAGGGGCGAAAGACUAAUCGAACCAUCUAGUAGCUGGUUCCUGCCGAAGUUUCCCUCA